CCACCCCCUUCUCUCUGCUGAUCCCCGCGACCUGCGUUUUCCUGGGGGUCCGGAACUCUGGACCCAAAGCGUCGGCCACCCCCUCAGGACAACUGGUAUCUCAUCAGAGCACUCUCUUGCCCAUGUCCACCCAUAAGCAGAUGGCCUCCCGCACCCGCCCCCCACCCUGGAGGAUUUCUUAAUGGGGUGAAAAUGCCAGUCCCCGAAGCCCGGGCUCCCGGACCCCCAGGGCCGAGCUGGGCGCGGGAGCCCCGCAGGGGCGGAGAGGCCGGCUGAGCUUGAAGAAGUGGAGGAGAGAUCAGCACAAGUUAAGUGGGGCGUCCCCAUCCCGUCUUCCUGCUCACCCUCCUUUGCCCCCAACUCCAUCUCUGCGACACCCUGCCCCCCCAAAAGAAGUCACUCCAGGGCUCUGUCUGCAGAGAGCCAGGGUGAGUGCGGGCAAGGCGAGAGAGAGAGCGACCUCGGUCGUGGGCAAGUAGCUUGUUUUUACGUCCUUCAAUAAAAUUUUUAUGAGGAUCA
This is a long non-coding RNA of Acinonyx jubatus (cheetah), 519 nucleotides long. RefSeq lists it as uncharacterized. The transcript is spliced from 2 exons. NCBI's taxonomy places the organism in Eukaryota, Metazoa, Chordata, Mammalia, Carnivora, Felidae. The record is from RefSeq and is a predicted model, not a curated record.